Molecule: ribosomal RNA, 222 nt
Filed under: uncultured bacterium
Lineage: Bacteria
Description: partial 16S ribosomal RNA
Rfam family: Bacterial small subunit ribosomal RNA
Source: RNAcentral
AGUAAUGUAUCGGAACGUGCCCAGUCGUGGGGGAUAACUGCUCGAAAGAGCAGCUAAUACCGCAUACGACCUGAGGGUGAAAGCGGGGGAUCGCAAGACCUCGCGCGAUUGGAGCGGCCGAUAUCAGAUUAGGUAGUUGGUGAGGUAAAGGCUCACCAAGCCGACGACCUGUAGCUGGUCUGAGAGGACGACCAGCCACACUGGGACUGAGACACGGCCCAG